Non-coding RNA from Paramuricea clavata, 248 nucleotides. Lineage: Eukaryota; Metazoa; Cnidaria; Anthozoa; Malacalcyonacea; Plexauridae. The record is from the annotation of a GenBank genome assembly.
GCAUGUACUGUAUAGUAAAGAAUACGAAAGUGUUCCAGUGUAGGCAGUAUUCUCAAAACUGAAACCAUGAAGCUUAAAGGCCCGUUUGCGAUUUUAGCUGCGAUUUUCGUCUUCUGACGGAUGUAAACAAGUGGAGGAGUUAUGAAUGUUUAGAUGACGACUGAUGAUGUUAAAUAUACUCGAUACAUUCAUAACUCAUCUACUCGUUCACAUGCAUCAGAAGAUGAGAAUUGCACCAGAAAUCGCAG